UACGGGGGGUGCGAGCGUUGUCCGGAAUCACUGGGCGUAAAGGGCGCGUAGGUGGCGUCGUAAGUUUGUGGUGAAAGCCUGGGGCUCAACCCCAGGUCUGCCGCGAAUACUGCGAGGCUUGAGUACUGUAGAGGCAGGUAGAAUAUCGGGUGUAGCGGUGGAAUGCGUAGAGAUCCGAUAGAAGACCGGUGGCGAAGGCGGCCUGCUGGGCAGUAACUGACACUGAGGCGCGACAGCGUGGGGAGCAAACAGG
This 253-nucleotide ribosomal RNA is filed under the name uncultured bacterium. RNAcentral's name for it is "partial 16S ribosomal RNA". It matches the Rfam family "Bacterial small subunit ribosomal RNA", at positions 524 to 776 of the family's 1533-position model. The record is from RNAcentral.